AUCAUGUUGCAUGAACCAAAAAGAUAAUUUCUCCCACAAAGAGGGAAAAGAAAAAGAAGAAAAUCAGAAAUGCGCGGCAAAACGGCUCGCUGGUUACAAUUAAGAAUAAAAAUAUAAUAAUUUAAAGAGUUCUAAUUUUUUACUUAAGAAAAUCUCUGCUUAUUGCUAAGCACAUUCUCCGACUCCGAGGUCCCAAUAGGGCUGUGAUUAUUCACUUCAGGGAUCCCUGGAUAGCUUGACUCUGAACUUUGGAGUUUCAGAUUUUAUCAGUAAACUGAACAUGCAAGCCCAACUCUGUACUGUUGCAGGGAUUUCUUGGUAAUUCUAUGUUGAAUUUUGGAGUUCCGAUCGGCUUACUUGUAAACUAGAGAGGUGAGCACAAAUCCAUCUACUACCAGCACUCGUGCUUUGUUAUUUUUAUCUUGUAGUUCUGAAAAGAUUAGCUUUCAGAGCAUCAAAUCUUGCCAUUCCAUUUUCUUUAUUUGAUAAGGAUGCAUCUUGGCCUAAAUGUUGUUAUCUGAAAAAAAAUGACUUUUGGCUGAUUGACUUGGCUGACUUUACAUCAGAAUAUUUACUGAACAGGAGACUGGAAAGAGGUGCAAGUCAAGCAAUAUAUGUGGUUUACUAAAAUACACUAGAAAGAAGAAUCAGUUCUAGAACUGUUUGGAUUACUAAACUAAUUAAUUUUAACUGUCUAAGAUGAAUAACCAUUAAUCAUUGGAAUCCUACCAAAUUCAUAAAUGCAUGAUGUGCUUACUGCA
Solanum tuberosum (potato) is the source of this 761-nucleotide long non-coding RNA. RefSeq lists it as uncharacterized. The transcript is spliced from 3 exons. NCBI's taxonomy places the organism in Eukaryota, Viridiplantae, Streptophyta, Magnoliopsida, Solanales, Solanaceae. The record is from RefSeq and is a predicted model, not a curated record.